UACGUAGGGUGCGAGCGUUGUCCGGAAUUAUUGGGCGUAAAGGGCGCGUAGGCGGCUUUGCAAGUGAGGGGUGAAAUCCCCCGGCUUAACCGGGGAACUGCCUGUCAGACUGCAUGGCUUGAGACCAGGAGAGGUGAGUGGAAUUCCCAGUGUAGCGGUGAAAUGCGUAGAUAUUGGGAGGAACACCAGUGGCGAAGGCGGCUCACUGGACUGGUACUGACGCUGAGGCGCGAAAGCGUGGGGAGCAAACAGG
RNAcentral lists this ribosomal RNA (253 nucleotides) under uncultured bacterium. RNAcentral's name for it is "partial 16S ribosomal RNA". It matches the Rfam family "Bacterial small subunit ribosomal RNA", at positions 524 to 776 of the family's 1533-position model. The record is from RNAcentral.